This 239-nucleotide long non-coding RNA is filed under the name Mytilus galloprovincialis (Mediterranean mussel). Lineage: Eukaryota; Metazoa; Mollusca; Bivalvia; Mytilida; Mytilidae. The record is from RNAcentral.
AAAGGAUAGUGUUAAAUUGUGUAUGUUUACCGAAGGAAGAAAAUGCAUUCAUUACCUUCUUAUGUAAAAAAAAUAAAAACUUUACAAAAAGCUCGACUGACGGCAGCAUUGUGCACCAAUAGUGAGACAACUGUAUAUUCAGCUACAAUUAUGAACUUGCAACAGAAAUGUAUUAACCUUUUGAAUAGACAAGACUGAGUCAUUUUAUUCUACGUACCAUCAUAAUGUUAAUAAACCGG